GGCUUAUGGAGGGGGAUAACCAUUGGAAACGGUGGCUAAUACCGCAUGAUGUCGCAAGACCAAAGUGGGGGACCUUARGGCCUCACGCCAUGAGAUGAACCCAGAUGAGAUUAGCUAGUAGGUGCGGUAAUGGCGUACCUAGGCGACGAUCUCUAGCUGGUCUGAGAGGAUGACCAGCCACACUGGAACUGAGAGACGGUCCAGACUCCUACGGGAGGCAGCAGUGGGGAAUAUUGCACAAUGGGCGGAAGCCUGAUGCAGCCAUGCCGCGUGUGUGAAGAAGGCCUUAGGGUUGUAAAGCACUUUCAGCGGGGA
This 315-nucleotide ribosomal RNA is filed under the name Candidatus Regiella insecticola. Its description in RNAcentral is "bacterial SSU rRNA". It matches the Rfam family "Bacterial small subunit ribosomal RNA", at positions 128 to 445 of the family's 1533-position model. Lineage: Bacteria; Pseudomonadati; Pseudomonadota; Gammaproteobacteria; Enterobacterales; Enterobacteriaceae. The record is from RNAcentral.